CCUACGGGAGGCAGCAGUGAGGAAUAUUGGUCAAUGGACGAGAGUCUGACCCAGCCAAGUAGCGUGAAGGAUGACUGCCCUAUGGGUUGUAAACUUCUUUUAUAAAGGAAUAAAACGAGGCACGUGUGCCUUUUUGCAUGUACUUUAUGAAUAAGGAUCGGCUAACUCCGUGCCAGCAGCCGCGGUAAUACGGAGGAUCCGAGCGUUAUCCGGAUUUAUUGGGUUUAAAGGGAGCGUAGAUGGGUUGUUAAGUCAGUUGUGAAAGUUUGCGGCUCAACCGUAAAAUUGCAAUUGAUACUUGCAGUCUUGAGUACAGUUGAGGUAGGCGGAAUUCGUGGUGUAGCGGUGAAAUGCUUAGAUAGCACGAAGAACCCCGAUUGCGAAGGCAGCUUACUAAACUGUGACUGACAUUGAUGCUCGAAAGUGUGGGUAUCAAACAGGAUUAGAUACCCCAGUAGUC
Molecule: ribosomal RNA, 460 nt
Filed under: uncultured bacterium
Lineage: Bacteria
Description: partial 16S ribosomal RNA
Rfam family: Bacterial small subunit ribosomal RNA
Source: RNAcentral